RNAcentral lists this long non-coding RNA (1031 nucleotides) under Macaca mulatta (Rhesus monkey). Its description in RNAcentral is "lncRNA (ENSMMUG00000051273.1)". Lineage: Eukaryota; Metazoa; Chordata; Mammalia; Primates; Cercopithecidae. The record is from RNAcentral.
AUGUCCAGUAAAAGUCAGACUGAAAUGUACUUCAUCUCCCAGACCAUCUUCACUGAAACAAAAGGAAGCAACACUAAAGAAAAAUACUACUGGUGUCAAAAUUCCAGCUGAGUUUUAUUCACUUUGAUUUACCCCAUAACUAGACUCAGUGUCUACAAGCAAUGUGAACCAGUGAGUUGAACAAUUAGCUACUGAAUAUUGUCCCUGAAGCUGCUUUUCUCCCUGUUGUUUCUUAGUGUCGUGAUUAUCAGAACAAUUACUUCUUCUUUUAUAGUGUAUAUGUAGCCAUAUCUCAAUCCCUGUGGCACAAAUAUUUAAUACAAUGAUCUUGGGGUGGUAGAAUUUUAUUGCUGAAAAAGUAUAGCUUCUGAUCAUGUUCCUAAAAUAAAGGCGUAAGUUAUAUAUAUAAUAUCUUGCCUGAAAGCUACAACAGAGGAAGCUUACAUUUUCUGACAGGACUUUUCAGGUUUUCUUUUGGAAUAUAUUUUUAGUAGAUGAGAAAAAAUUUUUGAAUUUGUGUUGUGAUUAUCGUGUAGAAACAGGAUAGACUCUCUGCCAUCCAAAAUUUUGUUCAGAUUUCAAUACUGGUGGUGCCAUACAUGCACCAAGAAGAUAUGAGAAGGUUUAGUACUCAGAAAAUGAACUUUUUUCAGAGAAUAGAGUGGUUUUUCAAUGGAUACAGAAUGGCUUGAAAGAGCAGGUAAAGGAGACUGGCUUGGGGUUUUUAUGAUGGUAAAGGUAGGUGUACUGGGGCAAAGUUUGUCUUAGCAGGAUUUAUGUGGUCUAAAUUUCUUACCAGUGCCAACAGAAGGAGCACUGGGCUUUCGUAUCAAUUUGCCCAAGUUUAAGUCAAUAAGGGAAGAGGGAUGGUAAUAGCUUAAAAGCUUCAGCAGUCAAAUUGGAGGCAGACUCUUUAUUUUAAUUCACUUAUAUCAUUCUCUUCUUUAUGAAUAUUUGGUCUUAACUUACUGAUGAUACUUGGCAAAGUUUCUAGAACUCUUAUUAGUUGUUGACUAGAAGUGACUUUUCUG